RNAcentral lists this long non-coding RNA (857 nucleotides) under Nicotiana tabacum (common tobacco). RNAcentral describes it as "long non-coding RNA (NTAB_LNC012158)". The record is from RNAcentral. Lineage: Eukaryota; Viridiplantae; Streptophyta; Magnoliopsida; Solanales; Solanaceae.
AAUGCUAAAGGAUAGGGGACUCAAGAUCGUGUCCCCACAUAAACAAAGAAACAUCUGAAGCCCAAGGAAUCCAGCUGAGCCCCUUGGCUAUGAACAUGCAGAAAAUUAAAACACUACAUAAUUAAUGAACUACAGGCCCCCUCGCUUGAACAUUGAAAUUACUGUCAUUUGCUGUUGAGUUCUUACAUAGUAAAUUUAAUGAUGGAUACUCUUGACAUUAAAUAUACAGUGACCCAAUAGCCCUUGAGUUCAUUCAAAUUAAAAAAAAAAAACAAAACUGAAAUUCUAAACAACAAAAUCAUUGAUGGAGGUUAACUGGGAACUUAACAUCACUGAGAUUGAACUAAUCAAAAUCCAAAAUUAGUGUUACUUAUCCAAAUUGAAUCUAUACUAUGACAGUACAAACAUCCAAGGACUCGGUAGAAAUAGUUUAAACUAGGCUGGAACCAAAAUAACACAUGAAAGUCCAAAUACAACCCCAAUACAAAUUGUAAUGUCCAUGGCAUGAAUAAAUACAAUGAAUCAAGCAAUAGAACACAAUUUAAUGUAGAACAAGGAUAAGUUUUCAAUAACACAACUUGAUAUUCAAUAACUAAGGUUUACAUCUCCGACAUGCUUCAGAUUCAAGCUUCACAUCAAUAAAGUCCAAAGAUGUACCUGGAUAUCAAAGUAAACCAAAAGAGAAUGAAGAUUUUCAACAGUAGCAAUAGAUUGAAUAAAUCAGCAAGCCAAACACAACAAUAUUCAACCUCUCUUAGGCCAUUUGUAACCCAGACAUCAGAAAUUAUUUGAACUUUUGGAAAAUUCUGACUAACUAUGAAGAUCAAAAGCAGAACCAAAGCAAAUUUCAACCAAAA